RNAcentral lists this long non-coding RNA (748 nucleotides) under Equus asinus (donkey). RNAcentral's name for it is "lncRNA (ENSEASG00005027214.1)". The record is from RNAcentral. Lineage: Eukaryota; Metazoa; Chordata; Mammalia; Perissodactyla; Equidae.
UUGAGUCUCAUUUUUAAGAACAGAGAUCUUACCAGAAGCCCCGUCUCUUCACUGGCUCAAAUGGGACCACAUGUUUACUGACUGCAUCAAUCACUGGUUUGGAUUACCACGUGUCUUAAUAACUAGGACUCACCCCUAGUGAAUGAGGAUGGAGUCAGCUCCCUGUGAAGCACAUGGCUGCAGAGAAAGACGGAGAACUGAGUAUCUGGGUGCUGCUGUGAAGGAUGCGAGUGUCAGGGCAGAGCAGACAUCAACAUUUACUACCAUAGUAAAGGCAGGAGAGCCUUUUUCUUGUCCUGCUCCAUCUCAGUGGACUGAGGACACAGGAUAGAACCAGGCUGAGUGGUGGUCCCUGAUGAAACCAGGCUCACAAGUCACACCCCACAGCCAAAGGUGUGGGACGGAGGGACAGCCGAUUCCAUUCACGGCCACAACACUGACAGGAUCACCACUUGUAAUUAAUGAGUCAAAAUACACCACCACGAAGAGAGGAAAUAUUUUAGAUCUGUUCAAGUAUAUAAUUUGACCUUACUACUUACAUAUUAUCAAACUUCCAAUUUAAAUAUGUUCUAGUUUAAAUGGUUUUAAAACAAAUGCAAAAGUUGCUAGAUGUGCAAUACCAACAAAUCUAAAACUGCAACUGGACAUUAAAUUCAAAAUUUUACUUUUAGAAUUAUACAAUUACUCAGCAGGACCACUUACUUAAAUCCCAUCCUAAACCAAUUAUCUAUUAAUAAAAAACCACAUC